Molecule: long non-coding RNA, 2157 nt
Organism: Homo sapiens (human)
Lineage: Eukaryota; Metazoa; Chordata; Mammalia; Primates; Hominidae
Source: Ensembl
ACAGAUGGCUCUGCACAAUAUGCAGGUACCACCCAAAAGUGGACAGCUGCAGCACUGUAGCCCCUUUCUAGGACAUCUCUGAAGGACAGUGGUGAAGUGAAAUCUUCCCAGUGGGCAGAACUUCGAGCAGUGCUCCCCUUUGUGCACUUUCCUUGGAAAAAGAAAUGGCCAGAUGCGUGAUUAUAUACUGAUUCAUGGGCUGUCGCCAGUGGUUUGGUCAGAUGGUAAGGGACUUGGAAGAAGCGUGAUUGGAAAAUUGGUGACAAAGAAAUUUGGGGAAGACUUAUGAGGAUGGAUCACUCUGAUUGAUCACAAAGUGUGAAGAUAUUGUAUCUCAUGUGAGUGCCCACCAAAGGUUGACCUCAGCAGAGGAGGAUUUUAAUAAUCAAGUGGAAGGAUAGGAUGACCUGUUCUGUGGAAACCACUCAACCUCUUUCCUCAGCCAUCCUUGUCAUCAUUCAAUGGGCCCACGAACAAAGUGGUCAUGGUAGCAGGGAUGAAAGUUACACAUGGGCUCAGCAACAUAGACUUCUACUCACCAAGGCUGACCUGGCUACAGCCAUUGCUCAGUGCCCAAUUUGCAAGCAGCAGAGACCAACACUGUGCCCUCCAUAUGAUACCAUCCUUCAGGGUGAUGGUAUCCACUAGGUAUCCACUAGGUAGCCAGCUACCUAGUGGCAGGUUGAUUAUAUUGGACCUCGUCCAACAUGGAAAAGGCAGCAGUUUGUCCUCACCAGAAUAGAUGCUCCGGAUAUGGGUUUGCUUAUCCUACACCCAAUGCUUCUGUCAAGACUGCCAUCUGUGGCCACAUGGAAUGCCUUAUCCACCAUCACGGUGUUCUACAUGGCAUUGCCUCUGACCAAAGCGCUCACUUUACAGCUAAAGAAGUGCAGCAGGGGGCUCAUGCUCAUGGAAUUCACUGGUCUUACCAUGUUCCCUGUCAUCCUAUCAAUCCAGAAGCAGCUGGAUUGAUACAAGAGUAAUGGCCUUUUAAAGUCACAAUUACAAUACCAACUAUGCAACAAUACUUUGCAGGGCUGGGGCAGAGUUCCCCAGAAGGCUGUGUAUGCUUUGAAUCAGCAUACAGUAUAUGGUACUGUUUCUCCCAUAGCCAGGAUUCAUGGGUCCAGGAAGCAAGGGGUGGAAGUGGAAGUGGCACCACUCACCAUCACUCCUAGUGAUCCAUUAGCACAAUUUUUGCUUCCUGUUUCCAUGACAUUAGUUCUGCCGGCUUAGAGGUCUUAGUUCCAGAGGGAUGAACACUGUUACCGGGAGACACAACAAAUCUGGAAGUCAAGAUUGCCACCUGGCCACUUUGGGCUCCUCCUACCUCUAAGUAAAACGGCUAAAAAGGGAGUUACAGUGUUAGCUGGGGUGAUUGACCUGGAUUAUCAAGAUGAAAUCAAUCUACUGUUUCACAAUAGAGUACUGGAGGUUUCUAUCAAGAUAUCUUUAAGCCCACUGAUUCUUUCCUUGGCCAUGUCUGAUUUACAGGUGAUAGGUAAUGAAGAUCUUCACCGGAAUUGGCCUCUUGAUCUUGGACUUUCCAGCCUCCAGAACUGCAAGCCAAAUAAACAUAUUGUGUAUAAAUCAUCCAAUCUGUGGUAUUCUGUUAUAACAGCAAAAAGUGAACUGAGACAGUUUAUUCUUUAGGUAGGACUUUUGUUUUCUAAUUGCCUAAUGUCACUCAAUCUCCAAAGUUUUAAAUCCAAACUUUUAGAUUUAUAACUUAUGGACUUAAAAAUCCAUUCCUAUUAGGCUAGUCACUUUCUAGUCCUUUGAGAUAAAGUGAUGAACAAUAUGAAUAUGGCUUUUGCUCUUAUCAUAUGUAUAGUCUAAUGCAACAAGAAGUUAUUGAGAAACGUUAACACUGAAGAGUAAUAUGAAAGGAAGAUUGCAGGAUGCCAAGUCAACCUAUACGAGAGAGGUAUCUAUGAAACAAAAAGAAAUCCUUUCUGAAGAAAUAUUAUUAUAUGAAACCUUCUGUUGGCCAGAAUAAAGAGAAAUCGGGUGGGAAUAUUCUAGGCAAAGUGAGAAAAUGAGAAAAUUCCCAGUGAAGUGUGGAGCACAGGAUGUUCAAGGGACUGCAGAAAGGAUGAUCUUUUGAUCAUCCAAAUCCUAAUCAAAUUAUGGAUGAAAUGGCAUGGAAAAGAGAUA